RNAcentral lists this ribosomal RNA (250 nucleotides) under uncultured bacterium. RNAcentral describes it as "partial 16S ribosomal RNA". It matches the Rfam family "Bacterial small subunit ribosomal RNA", at positions 524 to 773 of the family's 1533-position model. The record is from RNAcentral.
UACGAAGGGGGCUAGCGUUGUCCGGAUUUAUUGGGUUUAAAGGGUGCGUAGGCGGCCUUGUAAGUCAGUGCUGAAAUAUUCCGGCUUAACCGGGAGGGUGGCAUUGAUACUGUGAGGCUAGAGUACAGAUGAGGUAGGCGGAAUUGACGGUGUAGCGGUGAAAUGCUUAGAUAUCGUCAAGAACACCUAUAGCGAAGGCAGCUUACUAGGCUGUAACUGACGCUGAGGCACGAAAGUGUGGGGAUCAAAC